This 253-nucleotide ribosomal RNA is filed under the name uncultured bacterium. RNAcentral's name for it is "partial 16S ribosomal RNA". It matches the Rfam family "Bacterial small subunit ribosomal RNA", at positions 524 to 776 of the family's 1533-position model. The record is from RNAcentral.
UACGUAGGGUGCGAGCGUUAAUCGGAAUUACUGGGCGUAAAGUGUGCGCAGGCGGCCAUGCAAGUCGAGUGUGAAAGCCCCGGGCUUAACUUGGGAAUUGCGCUCGAAACUACGUGGCUGGAGUGUGGCAGAGGAAGGUGGAAUUCCGCGUGUAGCAGUGAAAUGCGUAGAUAUGCGGAGGAACACCGAUGGCGAAGGCAGUCCCCUGGGCCUGCACUGACGCUCAUGCACGAAAGCGUGGGGAGCAAACAGG